Molecule: ribosomal RNA, 497 nt
Filed under: uncultured bacterium
Lineage: Bacteria
Description: partial 16S ribosomal RNA
Rfam family: Bacterial small subunit ribosomal RNA
Source: RNAcentral
GAUGAACGCUGGCGGCGUGCCUAAUACAUGCAAGUCGAGCGAACAGACGAGGAGCUUGCUCCUCUGACGUUAGCGGCGGACGGGUGAGUAACACGUGGAUAACCUACCUAUAAUACUGGGAUAACUUCGGGAAACCGGAGCUAAUACCGGAUAAUAUAUUGAACCGCAUGGUUCAAUAGUGAAAGAUGGUUUUGCUGUCACUUAUAGAUGGAUCCGCGCCGCAUUAGCUAGUUGGUAAGGUAACGGCUUACCAAGGCGACGAUGCGUAGCCGACCUGAGAGGGUGAUCGGCCACACUGGAGCUGAGACACGGUCCAGACUCCUACGGGAGGCAGCAGUAGGGAAUCUUCCGCAAUGGGCGAAAGCCUGACGGAGCAACGCCGCGUGAGUGAUGAAGGUCUUCGGAUCGUAAAACUCUGUUAUUAGGGAAGAACAAAUGUGUAAGUAACUAUGCACGUCUUGACGGUACCUAAUCAGAAAGCCACGGCUAACUACGUG